CAGUAGCCACGGGAACACGGAGGGUGCAAGCGUUAAUCGGAAUUACUGGGCGUAAAGCGCACGCAGGCGGUCUGACAAGUCAGAUGUGAAAUCCCCGGGCUUAACCUGGGAACUGCAUUUGAAACUGUCAGGCUGGAGUCUUGUAGAGGGGGGUAGAAUUCCAGGUGUAGCGGUGAAAUGCGUAGAGAUCUGGAGGAAUACCGGUGGCGAAGGCGGCCCCCUGGACAAAGACUGACGCUCAGGUGCGAAAGCGUGGGGAGCAAACAGGAUUAGAUACCCCAGUAGUCCCUGUCUCUUAUAC
RNAcentral lists this ribosomal RNA (301 nucleotides) under uncultured bacterium. RNAcentral's name for it is "partial 16S ribosomal RNA". It matches the Rfam family "Bacterial small subunit ribosomal RNA", at positions 509 to 807 of the family's 1533-position model. The record is from RNAcentral.